GAUUCAAAAAAUAAUCAGUUAAAUCAAUUUUAAAAGAAUUUUAAGAAAAAAAGAAUUUUAAAGGAGUCGCCACCUAAUUUUAGGAAAAAACUAGGAAACCAUUAAGUGAUCUACGAAACCAUUAGAUUCUAAGUAAGGGGUUCAAGUUAUUUCGAAGGAAAGGGGUUAGGCAUCUUUCGAAAUCCACAAAUGUGGAUCCCGACUGAAUUCAUUUUUUUUUCAAAUUGAGGAUGAGAAUAAAAUACUGUACAAAUAUAAUAAACAUGCAAUAUACACAAGUAAUAUGAUAAAACAAUAAUAUAGAAAUCGGCCUAAAUUUGCCUAUCGUCAAUAAUCUACAAUAUAAAUAGAAGUAUAAUUCGAA
RNAcentral lists this long non-coding RNA (364 nucleotides) under Solanum tuberosum (potato). RNAcentral describes it as "long non-coding RNA (STUB_LNC009880)". The record is from RNAcentral. Lineage: Eukaryota; Viridiplantae; Streptophyta; Magnoliopsida; Solanales; Solanaceae.